Molecule: long non-coding RNA, 1014 nt
Filed under: Monodelphis domestica (gray short-tailed opossum)
Lineage: Eukaryota; Metazoa; Chordata; Mammalia; Didelphimorphia; Didelphidae
Description: lncRNA (ENSMODG00000039568.1)
Source: RNAcentral
CAGAAAAAGAAGAAAGAAACUAUAAUAGACAGCUUUUUACUCAGAAAAUGGAACAGAGGGGGAGAAACCAGCAAACGAUAAACCAGAAAUCCCAGCGAAUUGGAUACAGGCUGUGGAAGAACUCAAAACACAACUAAGAGAGGAUGAAGACAAUUGGAAAAAGAACUUAAAAAUUAAGAUAAGUCAUCUGGAAACAGAGGCACUUGAACUAAAACGAGAAAACAGUGUCUUGAAAGCCAAAAUCAACCAGCUGGAAAAUGAGGCAAAGGAGAUGAAAGAUGAGGCAAUGGAGAUGAAAGACGAGGUAAAGAGGAUGAAAGAUGAUCUUCAAAGAAAAUCAGACCAGAAUGCAAAGGAAGACCAAAAAGCCAGAGAUGAAAUCCAAUCUUUAAGAACCAGAAUACAACUGGAAUUAAGUGACCUCACAAGGCAGCAGGACACUAUAAAACAAAACAAAAAGAAUGAAAAAAUUGAGGGAAAUGUGAAGCAUCUCAUUCACAAAACAGAUGAUUUAGAAAAUCGUUCAAGAAGAGACAAUUUAAGAAUAAUUGGACUACCAGAAGACCACAACAAAAGAAAAAGCCUGGACAUAAUACUUGAGGAAAUUAUCCAGGAAAACUGUCCCGAUAUCCUAGAACAAGAGGGGAAAGUGGAGACUGAAAGAAUCCACAGCUCACUCCCUGUAUUUAAUCCCCAACUGACAACACCAAGAAAUGUUAUAACCAAAUUCAAAAACAAUCUAAUGAAAGAAAAGAUAUUACAAGCUGCCAAGAAGAUACCAUGGAAACACGAUGAGGUUAACACAGGAUCUGGCUGCAUUCACACUGAAGGACCGAAAGGCAUGGAAUACAAUAUUCCAGAAAGCAAGGGAACUAGGUCUACAACCAAGAAUAAAAUAACCAUCAAAACUGACUAUAUUCUUACAGGGGAAAGUAUGGUCAUUCAACACAACAGAAAAGUUCCAAGCAUUCAUAAAUAAAAGACCAGACCUGAACAGAAAAUUUGAUGUCCAAC